This 506-nucleotide ribosomal RNA is filed under the name uncultured bacterium. RNAcentral describes it as "partial 16S ribosomal RNA". It matches the Rfam family "Bacterial small subunit ribosomal RNA", at positions 30 to 523 of the family's 1533-position model. The record is from RNAcentral.
AUUGAACGCUGGCGGCAGGCCUAACACAUGCAAGUCGAACGGUAGCAGGAAGAAGCUUGCUUCUUUGCUGACGAGUGGCGGACGGGUGAGUAAUGUCUGGGAAACUGCCUGAUGGAGGGGGAUAACUACUGGAAACGGUAGCUAAUACCGCAUAACGUCACAAGACCAAAGAGGGGGACCUUCGGGCCUCUUGCCAUCAGAUGUGCCCAGAUGGGAUUGGCUAGUAGGUGGGGUAACGGCUCACCUAGGCGACGAUCCCUAGCUGGUCUGAGAGGAUGACCAGCCACACUGGAACUGAGACACGGUCCAGACUCCUACGGGUGGCAGCAGUGGGGAAUAUUGCACAAUGGGCGCAAGCCUGAUGCAGCCAUGCCGCGUGUGUGAAGAAGGCCUUCGGGUUGUAAAGCACUUUCAGCGGGGAGGAAGGGGGAAUGGUUAAUAACCAUUGCCAUUGACGUUACCCGCAGAAGGAGCACCGGCUAACUCUGUGCCAGCCGCCGCCGUAA